Molecule: ribosomal RNA, 254 nt
Filed under: uncultured bacterium
Lineage: Bacteria
Description: partial 16S ribosomal RNA
Rfam family: Bacterial small subunit ribosomal RNA
Source: RNAcentral
GACGUAGGGCGCGAGCGUUGUCCGGAAUUAUUGGGCGUAAAGAGCUCGUAGGCGGUCUGUCGCGUCGGUCGUGAAAACUUGGGGCUUAACCCUGAGCUUGCGGUCGAUACGGGCAUGACUGGAGUUCGGCAGGGGAGACUGGAAUUCCUGGUGUAGCGGUGAAAUGCGCAGAUAUCAGGAGGAACACCGGUGGCGAAGGCGGGUCUCUGGGCCGAUACUGACGCUGAGGAGCGAAAGCGUGGGGAGCGAACAGG